This 253-nucleotide ribosomal RNA is filed under the name uncultured bacterium. Its description in RNAcentral is "partial 16S ribosomal RNA". It matches the Rfam family "Bacterial small subunit ribosomal RNA", at positions 524 to 776 of the family's 1533-position model. The record is from RNAcentral.
UACGUAGGUGGCAAGCGUUGUCCGGAUUUACUGGGCGUAAAGAGCGCGCAGGCGGUCGAUCAUGUCGCGUGUGAAAGACCCCGGCUCAACUGGGGAGGGUCGUGCGAUACGGUCGAACUGGAGGCCAGUAGGGGGAUGCGGAAUUCCGGGUGUAGUGGUGGAAUGCGUAGAGAUCCGGAGGAACACCAGCGGCGAAGGCGGCGUCCUGGACUGGUCCUGACACUCAGGAGCGAAAGCGUGGGGAGCGAUCCGG